UCGAGCGAAUGGAUUAAGAGCUUGCUCUUAUGAAGUUAGCGGCGGACGGGUGAGUAACACGUGGGUAACCUGCCCAUAAGACUGGGAUAACUCCGGGAAACCGGGGCUAAUACCGGAUAACAUUUUGAACCGCAUGGUUCGAAAUUGAAAGGCGGCUUCGGCUGUCACUUAUGGAUGGACCCGCGUCGCAUUAGCUAGUUGGUGAGGUAACGGCUCACCAAGGCAACGAUGCGUAGCCGACCUGAGAGGGUGAUCGGCCACACUGGGACUGAGACACGGCCCAGACUCCUACGGGAGGCAGCAGUAGGGAAUCUUCCGCAAUGGACGAAAGUCUGACGGAGCAACGCCGCGUGAGUGAUGAAGGCUUUCGGGUCGUAAAACUCUGUUGUUAGGGAAGAACAAGUGCUAGUUGAAUAAGCUGGCACCUUGACGGUACCUAACCAGAAAGCCACGGCUAACUACGUGCCAGCAGCCGCGGUAAUACGUAGGUGGCAAGCGUUAUCCGGAAUUAUUGGGCGUAAAGCGCGCGCAGGUGGUUUCUUAAGUCUGAUGUGAAAGCCCACGGCUCAACCGUGGAGGGUCAUUGGAAACUGGGAGACUUGAGUGCAGAAGAGGAAAGUGGAAUUCCAUGUGUAGCGGUGAAAUGCGUAGAGAUAUGGAGGAACACCAGUGGCGAAGGCGACUUUCUGGUCUGU
Molecule: ribosomal RNA, 695 nt
Filed under: Bacillus sp. SJ-8
Lineage: Bacteria; Bacillati; Bacillota; Bacilli; Caryophanales; Bacillaceae
Description: bacterial SSU rRNA
Rfam family: Bacterial small subunit ribosomal RNA
Source: RNAcentral